Molecule: ribosomal RNA, 402 nt
Filed under: uncultured bacterium
Lineage: Bacteria
Description: bacterial SSU rRNA
Rfam family: Bacterial small subunit ribosomal RNA
Source: RNAcentral
UCGGGAAUUUUGCUCAAUGGGGGAAACCCUGAAGCAGCAACGCCGCGUGAGGGAUGAAUGCCUUCGGGUUGUAAACCUCUUUUCCCAGGGACGAUGAUGACGGUACCUGGGGAAUAAGCCACGGCUAACUACGUGCCAGCAGCCGCGGUAAUACGUAGGUGGCAAGCGUUGUCCGGAUUUACUGGGCGUAAAGAGCGCGCAGGCGGUCGUUUAAGUCGAAUGUGAAAGCCCCCGGCUCAACUGGGGAGGGUCAUUCGAUACUGAUCGACUUGAAGGCAGGAGAGGAAAGUGGAAUUCCCGGUGUAGUGGUGAAAUGCGUAGAUAUCGGGAGGAACACCAGUGGCGAAGGCGACUUUCUGGCCUGUUCUUGACGCUGAGGCGCGAAAGCUGGGGGAGCAAACG